GUGCCAGCCGCCGCGGUAAUACGGAGGGUGCAAGCGUUACUCGGAAUCACUGGGCGUAAAGCGCGCGCAGGCGGCCUUUUAAGUUGGAUGUGAAAGCCUAUGGCUCAACCAUAGAACUGCAUCCAAAACUAUUAGGCUAGAGUGUGGGAGAGGAAGAUGGAAUUAGUUGUGUAGGGGUAAAAUCCGUAGAGAUAACUAGGAAUACCAAAAGCGAAGGCAAUCUUCUGGAACAUUACUGACGCUGAGGCGCGAAAGCGUGGGGAGCAAACAGGAUUAGAUACCCUGGUAGUCCACGCCCUAAACGAUGAAUGUUAGUCGUCGGGUAGCUAGUCUAUUCGGUGAUGCAGCUAACGCAUUAAACAUUCCGCCUGGGGAGUACGGUCGCAAGAUUAAAACUCAAAGGAAUAGACGGGGACCCGCACAAGUGGUGGAGCAUGUGGUUUAAUUCGAAGAUACGCGAAGAACCUUACCUAGCCUUGACAUAUAUUAGAACUCANCAGAGAUGCANAGGUGCCUUCGGGAGCUUUUAUACAGGUGCUGCACGGCUGUCGUCAGCUCGUGUCGUGAGAUGUUGGGUUAAGUCCCGCAACGAGNGCANCCCNCGUC
This 606-nucleotide ribosomal RNA is filed under the name uncultured Sulfurovum sp. Its description in RNAcentral is "bacterial SSU rRNA". It matches the Rfam family "Bacterial small subunit ribosomal RNA", at positions 505 to 1109 of the family's 1533-position model. Lineage: Bacteria; Pseudomonadati; Campylobacterota; Epsilonproteobacteria; Campylobacterales; Sulfurovaceae. The record is from RNAcentral.